RNAcentral lists this ribosomal RNA (238 nucleotides) under uncultured bacterium. RNAcentral describes it as "partial 16S ribosomal RNA". It matches the Rfam family "Bacterial small subunit ribosomal RNA", at positions 524 to 759 of the family's 1533-position model. The record is from RNAcentral.
UACGAAGGGGGCUAGCGUUGCUCGGAAUCACUGGGCGUAAAGCGCACGUAGGCGGAUUGCUAAGUCAGGGGUGAAAUCCUGGAGCUCAACUCCAGAACUGCCCUUGAUACUGGCGGUCUCGAGUCCGGGAGAGGUGGAGUGGAACUGGCGAGUGUAGAGGUGAAAUUCGUAGAUAUUCGCAAGAACACCAGUGGCGAAGGCGGCUCACUGGCCCGGUACUGACGCUGAGGUGCGAAAG